UGGGGAAUAUUGCACAAUGGGCGCAAGCCUGAUGCAGCCAUGCCGCGUGUAUGAAGAAGGCCUUCGGGUUGUAAAGUACUUUCAGCGAGGAGGAAGGUGUUGUGGUUAAUAACCGCAGCAAUUGACGUUACUCGCAGAAGAAGCACCGGCUAACUCCGUGCCAGCAGCCGCGGUAAUACGGAGGGUGCAAGCGUUAAUCGGAAUUAUUGGGCGUAAAGCGCACGCAGGCGGUCUGUCAAGUCGGAUGUGAAAUCCCCGGGCUCAACCUGGGAACUGCAUCCGAAACUGGCAGGCUAGAGUCUUGUAGAGGGGGGUAGAAUUCCAGGUGUAGCGGUGAAAUGCGUAGAGAUCUGGAGGAAUACCGGUGGCGAAGGCGGCCCCCUGGACAAAGACUGACGCUCAGGUGCGAAAGCGUGGGGAGCAAACA
RNAcentral lists this ribosomal RNA (427 nucleotides) under uncultured bacterium. RNAcentral's name for it is "partial 16S ribosomal RNA". It matches the Rfam family "Bacterial small subunit ribosomal RNA", at positions 355 to 774 of the family's 1533-position model. The record is from RNAcentral.